GAUGCUAUGCUGCAGUCGAGCGACGCAUGCCCAGUUCGUAAGAACAGGGUAUGACGGAGCGGCGAACGGGUGAGUAACACGUGAGCAACCUGCCCCACAGACCGGGAUAGCCCAAGGAAACUUGGAUUAAUACCGGAUUCCCUCGAACAAUCGCAUGGUUGAUCGAGGAAAGGCCUUUGUGCUGUGGGAUGGGCUCGCGGCUUAUCAGCUAGUUGGUGGGGUAAAGGCCUGCCGAGGUAUCGACGAGUAGCUGGUCUGAGAGGACGAUCAGCCACACUGGAACUGAGACACGGUCCAGACUCCUACGGGAGGCAGCAGCAGGGAAUCUUGCGCAAUGGGCGAAAGCCUGACGCAGCAACGCCGCGUGGGGGAUGAAGGCCUUCGGGUUGUAAACCCCUUUCAGGAGGGAAGAAAUUGACGGUACCUCCAGAAGAAGGACCGGCCAACUACGUGCCAGCAGCCGCGGUAAUACGUAGGGUCCUAGCGUUAUCCGGAAUCAUUGGGCGUAAAGAGCUCGUAGGCGGUUCAGCAAGUCGGCUGUGAAAGUCCGAGGCUUAACCUCGGAAUUGCAGUCGAUACUGCUGUGACUCGAGUCCGGCAGAGGAGAAUGGAAUUCUCGGUGUAGCGGUGAAAUGCGCAGAUAUCGAGAGGAACACCAGUAGCGAAGGCGGUUCUCUGGGCCGGCACUGACGCUGAGGAGCGAAAGCGUGGGGAGCAAACAGGAUUAGAUACCCUGGUAGUCCACGCCGUAAACGUUGGAUACUAGGGUGUGGCGGUUGUACCAACGACUGCCGUGCCGAAGCUAACGCAUUAAGUAUCCCCGCCCUGGGGGAGUAUACGGCCCGCCAAGCGUA
Molecule: ribosomal RNA, 854 nt
Filed under: uncultured bacterium
Lineage: Bacteria
Description: bacterial SSU rRNA
Rfam family: Bacterial small subunit ribosomal RNA
Source: RNAcentral